Salmo salar (Atlantic salmon) is the source of this 9329-nucleotide non-coding RNA. NCBI's taxonomy places the organism in Eukaryota, Metazoa, Chordata, Actinopteri, Salmoniformes, Salmonidae. The record is from RefSeq and is a predicted model, not a curated record.
AUUUAUUGAUUUCUAGCUGUUUCUAGUGUAAAUUGUUUACAUUAAUUGUCCCUAUAGCAGGGGUAUUCAAAAACCUAAUGUUUUUCUGUUCUACCUGAUAGUUGCACCCACCUGGUGUCCCAGGUCUAAAUCUGUCCCUGAUUUUAAAGGGGAACAAAUCCAGUGGAACAGCUUCCGGGUCCAGAGUUGAGUUUGAGGGAUGUAUAUAUUUUAUAUAUUCUGUGUUUUGUCUGAUUGUGAACUACCUCUGCUACCUGCUGUAGUGCUGACACUGUCCUCUAGGCUGGGUGUGUUACUGCCUCCCCCAUGCUGUCAGAGCAUGCCUAGCCUAGUUCUUCUCACAGUGCCAAGCCAUGCCACACAGUGUGGGGUGCAACAGAUUCCAGUCAGACUGAGGAGACACCAGUCAUGGCUAGCUGUUACAUCACAUUACAUAAGACAGGCAGACGGAUAGACGGCAGGACGGACACGCGGGCGGCGGCUGUGAUUGGCGGCUCUGCGGCAGGCUGGUGGAAGAUGUCGUUGGGAGCCGGCGGGAGGGGCGGGCGGCGGCUCAGGGGCACUGGGGGUGGAGGAGGAGGGAGAGGGGAGGCGGCGGAGGAGGGCCUGGUGGGCAUCCCCUUCCCCGAGCACAGCGCAGACAUCCUGGGCAGCCUGAACAAGCAGCGCGUCAGCGGCCUGCUGUGUGACGUGCUCCUGGUCAACCAGGAGAGGGAGUUCCCCGCCCACCGCUCGGUCCUGGCCUCCUGCAGCCCCUACUUCUACAAGCUAUUCACCUCUGGUCCAACUGCCGACCAGCAGCACGUCUACUCCAUCGACUUUGUGGCAGCCGAGGCCCUAGCCGCCCUGCUGGACUUUGCCUACACAGCCACGCUGACCGCGGGCAGUGAGCGAGGAGAAGAAGAGGAGGAUGAUGAUGAGGAGGAGGAGGAGGGGAAAGGUGGAGGAGGAGAGGUGGAGCAGGGGAAUCGACUGCGGGCCCAGGAGUAUCUACAGUACUUCCAGAGAGGGGCCCACUGGAGCAGCAGCUGCAGCACACCAGAGCUCAGGGACAUGCCCACACACCUGCACUUUAAUCAUGGCAAUGGGGCCCAAAGCAACGGAGCCCCCGGGGGCCCCGAGAGUACUACUCUCCCCUGGACCUCGCCCUGACCCAGGCCCCCACACAGGACCCUGAAGAUGAAGAGGAAGAGGAUGAGGAGGACGAAGGGGAGGUGGAGCACUCUGAAAGUGGUGGGGACAUGCUGGCCUGGGCCAGGGGUAACGGAGGGGAGCCAGGGGCCUCUUUCUAUGCCCCAGCCCAGAACGGCCACUUUUACCUCCCAACGAAGCCCAAACUGGAGACGGAGGAAGAGGGGGAGGAAGAGGGGGGGCGGGAUGGAGAGAGGGGCUCGGCCAGCGCCCUCCUGCAGAAGAUGAUGGACUCCAUCGAGAGGCAGAAGGAGCGGGCCGCGGCCGGGGAGGAGCUGGGGGGAGGGAGAGGACCCGGACGUGGAGUUUUACUUGAAUUACUUUAAUAGCACGCAGCACGAGGAUGCCGCUGCCGCCGUCUCACAGGGACUGCUGCCCCUCUGGACGGCACGGGGCGGUUCUAGCCGAGAGAGAGAGAGGGGGGGAGGAGAGAGGGGAGGAAAGGGAGGAGAAGAGAGAGGGGGCGGAGGGGAGAGGAAGAUGCGCUCCAAGGCCUUCCAGAAGUGCCCCAUCUGCUCCAAGGUCAUCCAGGGAGCAGGCAAGCUACCCCGCCACAUCCGCACGCACACGGGAGAGAAGCCCUAUGAGUGCGCCAUCUGCAAAGUGCGCUUCACCAGGCAGGACAAGCUCAAGGUUCACAUGCGUAAGCAUACGGGAGAGAAGCCUUACUUGUGCACGCAGUGCGGUGCUGCGUUCGCCCACAACUACGACCUGAAGAACCACAUGCGCGUGCACACAGGCCUGCGGCCCUACCAGUGCUCCAGCUGCUUUAAGACUUUUGUGCGUUCAGACCACCUGCACCGCCACCUCAAGAAGGACGGCUGCAACGGCAUCCCCUCCCGCCGCGGCCGCAAGCCUCGUGUGCGGGACCCCGGGCUCCUGGAGGUCCCUGUGGGGCUGGCGGGCCCCGGCCCUCGGAGUGGCAAGGGGAGACGGCGCAUGGAGGCGGCUUCAGCUGCGGCGGUGGAGGGGGCCUCCAGGGCCCAUGCACACAGUCCUCAGCCCCAGGAGAUGGCAGGGGAGCCGGGGGACUGAGACAGGGAGGGACGCUGGACGCCAUAUUCAUACUGGGACCCUGAGGGGCCGCCACCGAAACCAAGGGAGAAAAGAACACGCUAUGAACAAGGGCAAACAAAAUAAACACAACAACUAACUAUUCCUCUAUAUACCAAAUCAGGGUGUCACCAAUCUAAUAUUUUCAGUUUAUUUUAUCCCUUUGCUUUAGGAAACAGAGUAAACACACAAACACCAGUCAGUGGUCUGUUAAAGAGCAAAGAAUGCUUCAAAUCACACCUCCAUGACGUCUCCUUUCUGGGUCAUUUCUGUCUCAUCUGGGUUUCUGUACAUUUGGCAAAAGUGCUUAAGCUUAUGUAUAACCAAACAACAGAAAAACCUGAGCAACUAUGCAGUUAAAAUAGAUUCUAUUGGUUUGGACUUCAUAGCCUUCAAACUUUGAGGUGUCCCACAUCUAUUGGCUGCUGCAUUGGUGAACGGAGUGUGAUCUCUCAUAUUCAGAUGGAAAGCAACCAAUCUUUUUCUAUUCUUUUGCAUUUCUAAAAUGUACAGUUACUAUAGUAGUAGUAUUGUCAGAAUAUGACAAUAUAUGCAAGAUUAACUCAACCACACCUCUGAUGCAGAAAUAAUCAUUUUUUUCAAAUGCUCCAGAAAGAAUCAGACAAGGAUUUGAUUUAAGUGUUACUUACUCUUUAAAAUAUAUUUUUUAAUCUAUGGUUCAUCUUUUUAAAAUGUUAAAUGUCGAGUUGAAUCCACGUUUGGGGGGGCUCUUCCAUUGCAGGGGUAAGGACCACGAGAGGAGGGGGUGUGUUUCUAAAGCACUACCAUGGUCAUGUUGCCAGGCGACCACGUCGUUGACUACCAAUCACAACCCUGAAAUUUCAGCCUUUCUAUUUUCUUUUUGAUUUGUCUUAAUUUUUUUCCGUUAUUUGUUUCUUGUUUGAGUUGACUGCUUUGGGUACUUGACACUUUACAUUUGUAUACAUGUAGAUACAUUAGUCGGUGAUUAUAUUGGUCCUUUUUAAUGCUGAGAUAUAUUAGCCUACCAAUCGGGGUUUCCUUCGGCUUGAUGUCAGAUUUCUCACAGAGUGAAGCUUGUGGGUAAAAGAGAAAAGAAACUGUAUGAAUGUUAGAGUAUAUUGAAUUGAGAAACCCAUUGGUCCUAAACUUAACACUUGAUUGAGAUGUAUAGAGUUACUGCCCGAAGGAAGAAGAGUUACUAGCUAUGUGCUUAACUUUGUGCAGUUCUGACAGAAUCUUCCCUGGCGUGAGAAGGAGAGAGGGCAGUGUCUAACCAACAGCAGGUUGAAAAAGACGAAAACCAGGGAUAGACAGAGAUGAGUAGAGGAGAGACGAGCACCUUUUUUAUACGUUUGCACAGCUUUACUAAAGAUAUCCAACAGAGAGAUGUAUAUUUAAAGGAGGUCGUCAGGAAAAGGAGGUGUGUAAUUGUGCGUAUUCCAAUCUUUUUUGUCCUGGGGACCACGAAGCCACGAGGCAACCUGUGUGAUGAAGAGAGCAAUAAAUACCUGUCCAAGUUGGGAGGCCAAAUAAGUGCGCAGCUGGGUGUUGGGGGAUGGGUGGCGAGGGGAGGGGGAUUUCACAAUGUCUGUUGCAUUCCAAAAUAUAAUCUCCUCGGCACAGCCAUGUUUCCAGGCAGAACGGGUUCAAAUCAGGCCUUCUCUCUCCCACUUUAGUCCUCCAAUGCCCCAAAACCAGCCUGUGGAGUGCAGGGUAUUAUAGAGCCCUGGGUAGAGAAGGUCUACUCAGUGGCUGACUGGACUGCUGCUGGGUGUUUGUGUGUGUGGCAGCCAGGGUCUUUUCUCUGGCCACAUCAGCGCAGUGUGACUCACUCACAGACGGGCUGGGAGUGUCAGCAGCUCCUCCAGUUGUGGGCACGUUCAAACACGCUCCCCAAACUGCUGGCGCACUAAAAGCCAAGCAGACACUAAAGUGGGCGAAAAACACGAGGUCAGCCACUAGGUGCUGCUCUACAGACUUAUGACGUGUGUUCAGUAUGGGCCACUGGCUCACAUACAUCUGGACAUGUUUGUCUUGGUCAGUACACUCUUAACCACACAGAGGAGAGGGUGCCGUGCCAGUGACUUAGAUCGAAUUCCCCUGCCAUUGCUGCAAUGCGGUGUCCUGAGUAUCAGUCCUUUGCACCUUAAUGGGAAAGAAGCAGGUUAUGAAUGCACUUUGUUACUGAGAAGGGCACUUUUGUCAAAGAAACGGGUACUUUGAAACAAAGUAAGGCGAAUGAGCUUAAUAUCCCCAUCGCAAGUGCUGCCGUUAAGCUUGUUUUCUGGUUUUGUUCAGUUUUUGACGACAAGCUGCCAAAAAAGAAAAAUGUAUGUGCGUUUUGGAUCUCUUAAGAGAAGUCAGGCACGUUCAGAAAUGAACAUGUUGGGUUUUGUGACCAUACAAACUUUUAAAAAUACAAAAUAACCCCAUGUAACUGAUUGCACUUGAAAUUAAGUUUUGGUAAAAAAAAAUAUAUAUAUAUAGUCUAUAUUCAUGUCUUAAUGCAGAGCAGGGGAGGAGUGGAGGGGGUGGGGCUGGAGUGUGUGUGAGUGUGUGUGCAUGGCUGGAGGGUCUCAGGGCAAGCCUGGAUAAACAAACUAUCUCCACCCAUCUGUUCACCAGCUCCCCUCUCAUAGCUCCACAUAUUAUCACAGGGAAGAAAACACAGUCAGACACGGCAGUUCCAUCAUACACAUACUAUUUUCCAAGUAGUGGCUAACUAAGGGGGGUGUGUGUGUGUGUGUGUGUGUGUGUGUGUGUGUGUGUGUGUGUGUGUGUGUGUGUGUGUGUGUGUGUGUGUGUGUGUGUGUGUGUGUGUGUGUGUGUGUGAGAAUACUUGAAACAUCCACACACUCUAAACCAUCUCUUCCAUAGCUUUUCAGCGCUUUGUAUUCUGUUGCAAUCUUUAUUUCCCUGGGAUUUGUUAUUGAACAGUUUGACUCCUUUUAGAUGAAUGUAUUCAAUAGUCUGUCAGUGUGGACAUCUACAAUGAUCAAGUCAAAUACUAGGAGGUAGUAGAUAAGGGGUGGUUAAUAUGUAUAGCCUGAAUGCCAGGAGCUCGGUGUAGGGUCAUGUAUAUGCAUAGGUCUGAUGAAAGCCAUAGUUCGGUGAGGUGUUAGGCUUCUAAGUCACCCCUCCCAAGCAUAUGUAACCAUUAAAACGGGUGACAUUCUUGGGCCUUAGUAUUGUGAUUUCAAGUUGUAUUCCUAUUUUAUUUCUUUAUUUUUUGGCUAAGCCAAAAUUGACCCAGAUUGCACAUAGGACACUCUUAUAGAGAUAUGCCCUAGUUGCUCUUCAUGUCUGGUGUAUAAUAUGAAGGUAUGAAAGUAAUCCCAGACAUUAUAUCUAGAAUGAGACUCUGACCAAGCCACACACCAACACCAACAAAGCCCACCCCCUCGAUAUGUAUGCAGCAAAUUGUGUGGAAUCAUACACAACAUUUACUUGAGUUCACAUUUCUCCCUUUAUUUCUGUGGACUUUACAAUGGUGUAGAUGGAAUAGCUUGUCCUUUAUGUCUUUAUGUAAAAAAAAAAAUGUCUUAAAAGGUUCCGCUACAGCAUUACUCUGUUUUUGUGUGGGUGGGGGUCAGGGUAUGGGAUGUGGUUUAGGGAGGGUGGGGGUCAGGGUAUGGGAUGUGGUUUAGGGAGGGUGGGGUAUUUUAUGAGGUCGGGCAGAGGGGUGUUUUGGGUGGGGUUGGGGAUAUAAAGCCUGAUAGCACUGGAAAUAGUGCUAUAGCUGAGACAACAAGAGUUUGCACUAAAGUCAUGUCCUUGUCCUGCUAAGGGUAGGAGGGCAUGAGACCUCAGCAAGGCCCUUGAGUUUCCAUGAGCACAGGGUGUUACACACUCAACGGUCCAACACAGAGAGUCCAUCCAUUCCCCUAACCAGCAGACUUGAUCAUGUAAAGGUUCUUCUGAGAAGUAUACCAACAUUAAUUAACCAAACCAAAGCAGAAAAACACUUUGAUAAGUCAUUGCACAUUUAAGCUGUCUUAUCAUGUUGAAUGUAUACAGCAAAGCCUGAAGGUGCUUUGAAAGUUGUAGAAUAGUUCACUAAAGUCAUGUAACUACAGCAAAUCUGAAACUCUCCCUCCAUGUUUGAAAUGUUGUAAACAUUCAGACCCUAUAUAUAACUUCUAUAGCUGCCUCUGGAAGGUAGUAUGACAACCCUCUGAGCAGUGUGUUCCGCAGCAGUGUCUAGAUAAAUUCAGGUGUCCUUUAGGUAGAGUGAGUGUUCUCUGGGACUCUGUGGCCUUGUCUGAGGACUAAGCUUUGUUUAAUGGGUCCAGUAGCAGUCUGGGGCUGGGGCUCUGUCUGUCUGUCUCACCAGGGGGACAUGGGUGAGAACGUGACUUAAAACGGAAGGAAUGGAAGAACCCCUCCCUCGUUCUAAUUGUAGAACACCUUAAUCUAACUUCCUAAUGGUUAGUUAAAACAUGUGGAUGUUGAGGAGUGUGGCUGAAAAUCUCUGGUGAGCCACUCUCAAUCAAACUCCCACUGUAUUGUUUGACCAAACUACUAUGACUUACUUAUAAAUGUAAGAAAAGGUGGACCUAUGAACUAAUUGUUCUACUGGUUGAUGUUGUGGUGUAGUUCUCUGCUACUUCGUUGCCCUAUGUUCCCAUGGUCCCACCCCUGGUGAGACCUCCCAGGCUCAGCCCCUGACCCCUGUUACUCUGACACACGCUACACUGAGAAGGUGUCUCACAACUCCUUCAAGAAAAUACUUAUUGUUUGUGUUUAUCCAAAUCGUCCUUAUGUUUUGUUCCUAAUUUAUUAAGAAAAAGAAAAGAACAUGUCUGAAAGCAUUAAAAACUACGCAAAACAUUUGAUAACAAUUAUAACUAAUAAUCAUAGAACAGGAGUGGGUAAUGGUGGUGGAGGAUAUGUUUUGUUAGUGGUGCUGCACACCUGAAUGUCCAGGCUGGUAAAGCACAGCAAGCUGAGGAUGACAUAUGUAGUAUGGCACAAUGCACAGCGUGGCUCUGGCACUGGCACAGCCAUCCCUGGGGCCUAUCAGAGGCUAUUGGCUGGUUGGUCGGCCAGUUUACUGUAGGAGUCGCUAUCUACUUCAGUGGGGUACAAUGGUUUGUAAAAAGUGGGAGAGACCAGAUCAGGGAAGUUGUGCUGUGCAAUGGUUCAGGUUGCCCCAUCUUGUUGUGUUUCACUGGGAAUUAUAUGAUGUAGCAAAAUGGUGGACGGUGUAGGGGAGUCACAGAACUGGUGAUGGGGAAAUUACAGGGGAAUGUUGAUUAUCUACUUUUCUGUUAGUGCUUCUCAGGUGGAAAGCAACACUGCAAUGCAUUGCGUUUCAAUUUCUGUUUCUGUUCAGUUUGUGGUUUGACCCCAGUAACAUCCAUUUGUACAAUUGCCAAAUUGUACCAAUGUUUAACGAAAUGGUUCCCAGAACGCAGAGCGCGGAAACAGUUGGUUCCCCAUUGCCAUGUGACUGUGACCCCUAUUGCUUUACCUAAUGUUCAUUCAAUGGCUUGUCUGUGGGAGGGAGAGUGCUCAGAAGUCUGUGUUAAUCAGGUUAAAACAUGUAUAAAAGUAUCUGGGUAUGAAGCACAGAGGGAGGGGAGAAGGGUGGGUUCUCUCUCCAGACCCUGGUUUCCAUAUCUCUAAAGACAGGCCUUUGAUUAGAGAUCACAGGCCCUCAGCAGGAGAAGCUGAGAGAGGGAGGGAGGGAGAGAGGGAGAGAAAGAGAGACUCACUUGUGGUUUAAAGCCACCAACCAAUAGAGGAUACAUUCCAUAACUUCAUACUGUAAUUCCCGCUUCUGAGUCUUGGCGUGGGGAGACGGAGGGGAUAGAGGGAGAGGAACAGUCAGCGUUUUACAGCCGAGUGUUUCAAUCUGUCCAUUCCACCUCCUACCACCCCCAGUCUGACAGACAGACAGACAGGCAGGCAGUGAGCUUGGCCUCUCCAGGCUUGGCCGUCCAACUGCCUGAAUGUCUCAGCUUCUGCGAUUGUAACAAAGCACUUUGCGAAAGGCCAUCCAGAAUAUUGUUUGCUGUUUUUUGGGGGUUAUUACUAUUGUUAUUAUUGUUUAUUCUUGUUGAUAUUUUUAUUUCAUUAUGGAUUAUUAUUUAAAUGCAAAGCUACAUGAAAAUGAGAACUUGAAUAUUUGAUAUUUGGGUUGAAGUCCAUUCGAGCUACCGCCCCACUAGGCCAUAUAUACACCUCUGGCACACACACAGUCUCAGCUAAUAGAUGCAGCUCAGUGGGGAUACACUCGGAGUGAAAGGGUUUUAAGGCAAGGUCUCCUUCAUCUCCACAUACAAUCUCUUUGGAAAACAAGUCAUAUAAUCUCAUUGGGAGAGUUGCGCUGCACAGAAACUUCCAUAACAGUUGAGAAGCUUUCUGAGAAGGCUAACUGGGUUGUUCUACUUAAUGUCAAACAUGCAGUACUUUGUAGGUUUAAAGCUGAUUUAUUUUUAUCUCUCACGUCACUUACACAUACUGGUUCAUUAAUGUAUGUGGUGUCUCAUUGCUGUACAAUAGUGCCCCUUGUGUAGCUAGAGUAAAUUGCUGGAUCUGGUAUCCUCAAAUCAUUCUGAGACAUGAAAAUAGGAACGACCAAAUUAUUGUGCAGUUUUUGUUUGGAGUUAAGGUUUUGGCCUUCACAUAGAUUUUUCAGUCAAAUCAAAAUUUGUUUUAGCAAAAUAGAGUAGUAUGCAGAAGUUUGAGGGAGAAGAAAGUGACUAUCCAUUGUAGAUUGAUUUCUAACUGUAAAAAUCACUAACCAUCCAUUCUAGUUUAAAACGCUGGGGCAUUGGGGGCAGCAGAGUAUUCCCUGUCUGUCAGGCUUGGAUGCUAAAAAUCCUGUCCUCUUCAGAAAAGUAAUUUUCAUUAACAUUGUCAGUGUAUUUUGGAAGCUAUGCAGGGCUAUGCAGGGGAUAGGUGGUUCUGGAGAAUUUGCACUUUUGGCUACAAAAAUAAAUUGUAUUGUAUAUGAGACCACUAAAUCCACACCGUCUAAACCAUAUAAUUCCAUUUGUUUUGUUCUGUUUUUCUCUUUGUAAUAUAUCCCAAAAUGUCUGGCGUCCUUGGUUGAACGAAACAACAAUCUUUCUAUUAAAAAAAAACAAUGGUUGUGA